This 593-nucleotide ribosomal RNA is filed under the name uncultured fungus. RNAcentral's name for it is "eukaryotic LSU rRNA". The stretch from base 226 to 379 matches the Rfam family "5.8S ribosomal RNA". Lineage: Eukaryota; Fungi. The record is from RNAcentral.
AGUCGUAACAAGGUUUCCGUAGGUGAACCUGCGGAAGGAUCAUUAAAGAGUAAGGGUGCUCAGCGCCCGACCUCCAACCCUUUGUUGUUAAAACUACCUUGUUGCUUUGGCGGGACCGCUCGGUCUCGAGCCGCUGGGGAUUCGUCCCAGGCGAGCGCCCGCCAGAGUUAAACCAAACUCUUGUUAUUAAACCGGUCGUCUGAGUUAAAAUUUUGAAUAAAUCAAAACUUUCAACAACGGAUCUCUUGGUUCUCGCAUCGAUGAAGAACGCAGCGAAAUGCGAUAAGUAAUGUGAAUUGCAGAAUUCAGUGAAUCAUCGAAUCUUUGAACGCACAUUGCGCCCCUUGGUAUUCCGAGGGGCAUGCCUGUUCGAGCGUCAUUACACCACUCAAGCUAUGCUUGGUAUUGGGUGCCGUCCUUAGUUGGGCGCGCCUUAAAGACCUCGGCGAGGCCUCACCGGCUUUAGGCGUAGUAGAAUUUAUUCGAACGUCUGUCAAAGGAGAGGACUUCUGCCGACUGAAACCUUUUAUUUUUCUAGGUUGACCUCGGAUCAGGUAGGGAUACCCGCUGAACUUAAGCAUAUCUAAAAGUCG